Molecule: ribosomal RNA, 452 nt
Filed under: Streptomyces sp. CAP 185
Lineage: Bacteria; Bacillati; Actinomycetota; Actinomycetes; Kitasatosporales; Streptomycetaceae
Description: bacterial SSU rRNA
Rfam family: Bacterial small subunit ribosomal RNA
Source: RNAcentral
GCAAUCUGCCCUGCACUCUGGGACAAGCCCUGGAAACGGGGUCUAAUACCGGAUAUGAUCACCGGCCGCAUGGUCUGGUGGUGGAAAGCUCCGGCGGUGCAGGAUGAGCCCGCGGCCUAUCAGCUUGUUGGUGGGGUGAUGGCCUACCAAGGCGACGACGGGUAGCCGGCCUGAGAGGGCGACCGGCCACACUGGGACUGAGACACGGCCCAGACUCCUACGGGAGGCAGCAGUGGGGAAUAUUGCACAAUGGGCGAAAGCCUGAUGCAGCGACGCCGCGUGAGGGAUGACGGCCUUCGGGUUGUAAACCUCUUUCAGCAGGGAAGAAGCUUUCGGGUGACGGUACCUGCAAAAAGCACCGGCUAACUACGUGCCAGCAGCCGCGGUAAUACGUAGGGUGCGAGCGUUGUCCGGAAUUAUUGGGCGUAAAAGCUCGUAGGCGGCGUGUCACG